UACGUAGGGGGCAAGCGUUGUCCGGAAUCAUUGGGCGUAAAGCGCGUGUAGGCGGCUCGAUAAGUCUGCCGUGAAAGUCCAGGGCUCAACCCUGGGAUGCCGGUGGAUACUGUCGAGCUCGAGUCCGGAAGAGGCGAGUGGAAUUCCUGGUGUAGCGGUGAAAUGCGCAGAUAUCAGGAGGAACACCAAUGGCGAAGGCAGCUCGCUGGGACGUGACUGACGCUGAGACGCGAAAGCGUGGGGAGCAAACAGG
This 253-nucleotide ribosomal RNA is filed under the name uncultured bacterium. RNAcentral's name for it is "partial 16S ribosomal RNA". It matches the Rfam family "Bacterial small subunit ribosomal RNA", at positions 524 to 776 of the family's 1533-position model. The record is from RNAcentral.